RNAcentral lists this ribosomal RNA (499 nucleotides) under uncultured bacterium. RNAcentral describes it as "bacterial SSU rRNA". It matches the Rfam family "Bacterial small subunit ribosomal RNA", at positions 35 to 518 of the family's 1533-position model. The record is from RNAcentral.
GCUGGCGGCGUGCCUAACACAUGCAAGUCGAGCGGGGACUGUACGACGGAUUUGAAGAUUCGGUUGGAUAUGAAGAUGUACAGUUCUAGCGGCGGACGGGUGAGUAACGCGUGAGCAACCUGUCCCUUACAGGGGGAUAACACAGCGAAAGUUGUACUAAUACCGCAUGAGACCACGAUAUCACAUGGGUAUAGGGGGUCAAAGGAGCAAUCCGGUAAGGGGUGGGCUCGCGUCCGAUUAGAUAGUUGGUGAGGUAACGGCCCACCAAGUCGACGAUCGGUAGCCGACCUGAGAGGGUGAUCGGCCACAUUGGGACUGAGACACGGCCCAAACUCCUACGGGAGGCAGCAGUGGGGAAUAUUGGGCAAUGGGGGGAACCCUGACCCAGCAACGCCGCGUGAGGGAAGAAGGUUUUCGGAUCGUAAACCUCUGUCCUAUGUGAAGAGGAAGAGACGGUAGCAUAGGAGGAAGCCCCGGCUAACUACGUGCCAGCCGCCGC